RNAcentral lists this ribosomal RNA (400 nucleotides) under uncultured bacterium. RNAcentral's name for it is "bacterial SSU rRNA". It matches the Rfam family "Bacterial small subunit ribosomal RNA", at positions 356 to 773 of the family's 1533-position model. The record is from RNAcentral.
GGGGAAUAUUGCACAAUGGGGGAAACCCUGAUGCAGCAACGCCGCGUGAGUGAUGAAGGUCUUCGGAUUGUAAAGCUCUGUCUUUUGGGACGAUAAUGACGGUACCAAAGGAGGAAGCCACGGCUAACUACGUGCCAGCAGCCGCGGUAAUACGUAGGUGGCAAGCGUUGUCCGGAUUUACUGGGCGUAAAGGGAGCGUAGGCGGAUGUUUAAGUGGGAUGUGAAAUACCUGGGCUUAACUUGGGUGCUGCAUUCCAAACUGGAUAUCUAGAGUGCGGGAGAGGAAAGUGGAAUUCCUAGUGUAGCGGUGAAAUGCGUAGAGAUUAGGAAGAACACCAGUGGCGAAGGCGACUUUCUGGACCGUAACUGACGCUGAGGCACGAAAGCGUGGGGAGCAAAC